UGAUGGAAGGAAUGGCAAAGAAUUUGUGGAUAUAGUUUAAGUCCACCACUUGUCUUUUCUGCGAUGCUCUUCUACAUACACUGAUCUUCCCCUUAUGAAUGAACUCUACCCCACUUCCUUCCUAGUGCUGUUAGUACAAUCUGGGAGCAGUGGCGGUGGGAGGCUCACCCUGAAGCCUGGUUAUAGAAAAAGGAAAGGCAUGGCGAAGAAGGUUCCGAAUCACCAUUGUGUCCCUUUCUUAACUCAAAAACCGUCAGCUCCUUGCAUUUCUUGGCUUACCAAGUUAAAACUGCCAUGUGCGGCUUUUAAGAGCCUUCAUUCUGACUCUUCUUUCCAAGGCAAUGUAGUUCUUUUUUUACUAGUAGACGCUUCGGUGUCAGUAAUUAAGCUCUUAUCUCUUUCCAAACCCACCCUUCUAUACCAAGCCUGGCAAUGGCUGGAGCCACACUACAUUUCAACGUUGCAAGCUGGUCCCUGUUAGGGGGCGCUACAGAAAGAUGAAGCUUGGAUAACAAAGAAAAGUUUACUCCUUCCUGUUUGUUUAUGAAACUUUCUGGGGGCUUCCUGUUGACUGACAGUUCGAAGGGGGCGAACCAACACUUCUUCACCCCAGCGGAAGCAGUUCCUUCCCACAGCAGCUCAAUCCAAUUUGCAGUUUUACCGACACUUGGAGAGUCCGCUUCAUUGUACGCGCCACCCCCUCCCCCCCACAGACAUCAGUACCAGCUGGAUACUUCCUCAGGUUAUAGUGGAACCAUGGAUGUGUUUGGAGACAUAGGUGACAUUUCCUCAGAGAGUGCUGAUGACAAUCAACCACCUAUUCCAGGACAGCCUGUUGAUGAAUGUGGAUUGCCUCAGGACCAGCAGGGGGAAAAGCCGAUUUCUGAAACCACAAUAGAAGUAGAAAUUCCCAGUAUCAAUCGUGAUUUAGGAAAUGAAUUGUUCUUUGUUAAGCUACCCAAAUUUCUCAUCAUAGAACCCAAGUAGAAAAUACUAUACGAUGGAGGAUACGCCGGGAUGAAGAAGGAAAUAAAAUUAAAGAAAGCAAUGCUCGGGUAAUCAAGUGGUCAGAUGGAAGCCUGUCCCUGCAUGUAGGCAGUGAAGUGUUCGAUGUCUACAAAGGCCCAGUGCAGGGCAACCAUCUCCAACUGUUUGUUAGAGAAGAUACUGGUCUACAGGGACAAGCCGUCUUUAAAUCCAAACUCACCUUUAGACCUCACUCUGUAGGCUGUGCCACACAUAGAAAGAUGACUCUGCCACUUGCUAAUAGAGGCUCAGGGACACAGAAGAUUAGAAUCUUGCCCAUUGCUGGUUGUGAUCCUGAAUGCCAACACACAGAAAAGAUUAAGAAAGAACACAAACGUGUGAGGUCAUCUCACCAGAGGACAACAGUCUGUCUGCAGAACAAGCAGAACCAGCAGGGGCCAAGGGACCCCAGCAGUGACGAGGAGGAGGAAGGCGAUGAAGCCAUUGAAAACCAGUACCACGGGGAACUGGGAGAGGAACAGGCCAGAAUCUAUUCAUCAGACAGCGAUGAAGAAUCAGAAGAAAAUAAGUCUCAAAGAUUACCGAGAGCAAAGCAACUCAGCAGCGAUGAGGUAAAAGCAAAUUUAUUUAAUUCUAAGGGGUUUACUCUGUACCCACAAAUCACCUUGUGGAAUAAAGAGGAGCUCACAGCCCAGGAGCACACACAUGUCUACACAUUUCACUGAAGCUCAGUGACAUAAGUGCAGUGACAGGACUAGGAGUGGCCAGAGGAGAGCCUGACACCUCUGCUUGGAUGGGUGCUGGAAGGCUGCUCAGAGGAGACCUCUUGCUGGAUGUUGAAGAAAGAGUGUUAGUUUGUAGGACACACUGGCCAGGGCGGGCAUGCCCGGUAGAUGGAAAGGCCUGUGAGAAAGGUGCCAGGGCCCUAGACACAUCAAGUCUUGACUGGAGAACCAGGAAUAGCUCAUGGUAGUUCCAGGCACCUGCCAUGUUCAUUGGGGGUAACUGGGUGUCUUUAUUGUUUGGGUAAAAUUGUAGUGGAGGGUUAUUCCAUUUCCAUGUUAUUAAAAUAUUUUCCCAUUAUUUCCUUUUCCACUUAUAAGAUCACAAAUGCAAAGAAAUGUCAAGUCUUAACUAUAAAAGUGAAUCACUGUUACUGCCCAUAAGCCAUAUUAAUUUCUUCAGUGUUUUCUGAACACGUAACAUGCGUCCCUCUCUAGGUUUCUGGAGAUACAGAUAGGAGUCAAGAUCGCAGUAACAGAAAUGUUCAGUUAAACAUUGGUCACUUGUAUAAGGGAGGUGUUCAUUUUUCAUAUAAAAAAUAUAUUUAAAACUUUAAAAGCAUACUGGGAAAACAACAGCCGUCUUUUUAAAAAAUCAGCAAGCUUUAAACUACUGAAUUUUAGACACAGAGAGUAAAGUACUAAGGAAGCAGAGGACUGUAUUACAAAUAUAAUAUGAUAGAAAUCCUAGUCAGUAUAGACAAGGAAGUGUCCCUCCAGUCCUGACCGCUGCCCAGGGGAAACCUGACCUGCUAGAGCAGCGGUUCUCAACCUUCCUAAUGCCGCGACCCCUUAAUACAGUUCCUCGUGUUGUGGUCAC
Molecule: RNA transcript, 2589 nt
Organism: Hipposideros armiger (great roundleaf bat)
Lineage: Eukaryota; Metazoa; Chordata; Mammalia; Chiroptera; Hipposideridae
Gene name: RNA polymerase-associated protein LEO1-like
Exons: 8
Source: RefSeq, a predicted model, not a curated record